This 406-nucleotide ribosomal RNA is filed under the name uncultured bacterium. Its description in RNAcentral is "partial 16S ribosomal RNA". It matches the Rfam family "Bacterial small subunit ribosomal RNA", at positions 29 to 526 of the family's 1533-position model. The record is from RNAcentral.
AUUGAACGCUGGCGGCAGGCCUAACACAUGCAAGUCGAGCGAGCGGCGGACGGGUGAGUAAUGUCUGGGGAACUGCCUGAUGGCGGGGGAUAACUCCUGGAAACGGUAGCUAAUACCGCAUACCAUCAGAUGUGGCCAGAUGGGAUUAGCUAGUAGGUGGGGUAACGCCUCACCGAGGCGACGAUCCCUAGCUGGUCUGAGAGGAUGACCAGCGAAACUGGAACUGAGAAACGGUCCAGACUCCUACGUGAGGAAGCAGUGGGGAAUAUUGCACAAUGGGCGCAAGCCUGAUGCAGCCAUGCCGCGGGUGGGAAGAAGGCCUUCGGGGUGUAAAGGACUUUCAGCGGGGAGGCGUUACCCGAAGAAGAAGCACCGGCUAACUCCGUGCCAGCAGCCGCGGUAAUUC